GAUGAACGCUGGCGGCGUGCCUAAUACAUGCAAGUCGAGCGAACAGACGAGGAGCUUGCUCCUCUGACGUUAGCGGCGGACGGGUGAGUAACACGUGGAUAACCUACCUCUAAGACUGGGACAACUUCGGGAAACCGGAGCUAAUACCGGAUAAUAUAUUGAACCGCAUGGUUCAAUAGUGAAAGACGGUUAUGCUGUCACUUCUAGAUGGCUCCGCGCCGCAUUAGUUAGUUGGUAAGGUAACGGCUUACCAUGGCAACGAUGCGUAGCCGACCUGAGAGGGGGAUCGGCCACACGAGAACUGAGACACGGUCCAGACUCCUACGGGAGGCAGCAGUAGGGAAUCUUGCGCAAUGGGCGAAAGCCUGACGGAGCAACGCCGCGUGAGUGAUGAAGGUCUUCGGAUCGUAGAACUCUGUUAUUAGGUAAGAACAAAUGUGUAAGUAACUAUGCACGUCGUGACGGUACCUAAUCAGAAAGCCACGGCUAACUACGUG
RNAcentral lists this ribosomal RNA (497 nucleotides) under uncultured bacterium. RNAcentral's name for it is "partial 16S ribosomal RNA". It matches the Rfam family "Bacterial small subunit ribosomal RNA", at positions 28 to 507 of the family's 1533-position model. The record is from RNAcentral.